RNAcentral lists this ribosomal RNA (497 nucleotides) under uncultured bacterium. Its description in RNAcentral is "partial 16S ribosomal RNA". It matches the Rfam family "Bacterial small subunit ribosomal RNA", at positions 28 to 507 of the family's 1533-position model. The record is from RNAcentral.
GAUGAACGCUGGCGGCGUGCCUAAUACAUGCAAGUCGAGCGAACGGACGAGAAGCUUGCUUCUCUGAUGUUAGCGGCGGACGGGUGAGUAACACGUGGAUAACCUACCUAUAAGACUGGGAUAACUUCGGGAAACCGUAGCUAAUACCGGAUAAUAUUUUGAACCGCAUGGUUCAAAAGUGAAAGAAGGUCUUGCUGUCACUUAUAGAUGGAUCCGCGCUGCAUUAGCUAGUUGGUAAGGUAACGGCUUACCAAGGCAACGAUGCAUAGCCGACCUGAGAGGGUGAUCGGCCACACUGGAACUGAGACACGGUCCAGACUCCUACGGGAGGCAGCAGUAGGGAAUCUUCCGCAAUGGGCGAAAGCCUGACGGAGCAACGCCGCGUGAGUGAUGAAGGUCUUCGGAUCGUAAAACUCUGUUAUUAGGGAAGAACAUAUGUGUAAGUAACUGUGCACAUCUUGACGGUACCUAAUCAGAAAGCCACGGCUAACUACGUG